UGGGUUUAAAGGGUGCGUAGGCGGCCUGUUAAGUMGCGGUGAAAUCUAGGAGCUUAACUCCUAAAUUGCCAUUGAUACUGGCGGGCUUGAGUGUAGAUGAGGUAGGCGGAAUGCGUGGUGUAGCGGUGGAAUGCAUAGAUAUCACGCAGAACUCCGAUUGCGAAGGCAGCUUACUAAGGUACAACUGACGCUGAAGCACGAAAGCGUGGGUAUCAAACAGGAUUAGAUACCCUGGUAGUCCACGCAGUAAACGAUGAUAACUGGGCGUAUGCGAUAUACAGUAUGCUCCUAAGCGAAAGCGUUAAGUUAUCCACCUGGGGAGUACGCCGGCAACGGUGAAACUCAAAGGAAUUGACGGGGGCCCGCACAAGCGGAGGAACAUGUGGUUUAAUUCGAUGAUACGCGAGGAACCUUACCCGGGAUUGAAAUGUAGAUGACCGCCGGUGAAAGUCGGCUUCCCUUCGGGGCAUCUAUGUAGGUGCUGCAUGGUUGUCGUCAGCUCGUGUCGUGAGAAG
This 515-nucleotide ribosomal RNA is filed under the name uncultured bacterium. RNAcentral's name for it is "bacterial SSU rRNA". It matches the Rfam family "Bacterial small subunit ribosomal RNA", at positions 555 to 1074 of the family's 1533-position model. The record is from RNAcentral.